CGCGGGGACGCGGCCCCCGCUGACGUCACGCGCGCGGUGUGGGAAAAAGGGGGCGUGACCCCGCCUCUCUCCCCCCCCCCCCCCCUCAACCCGGUCACCUCUGCGGGGGUGGUGCGCGCAGUAGGAGCAAUACGGUAAGGGAGCGGGAGGCGCACUCGCGGCGUUACGGUAGCGGCGGCGGGGCCGCGCCCCGGCCGUAAGAUGGCGGCGCCGGGCGGCCCGCGAGCAGCCCCCGGCCGCCGGGCGGGCACCGCGGCUGCCCCCCGAGCCUCGGCGCGGCGCCUGGGAGCGGCGGCGGACCCGCAUCGCUAGGUCACUUCUUUCUGAAAGGAGCAGAGUCAAACAUAGCUGCGCAUUUCUGGAUGACAGUGCUACAACCUGUUGCAAUGAAAGCAGGCUGUCAUUUUCACCUGUCCAUUUAGUCUACCCACCAAAUACCAGAGCUUAAGAAAGAACAGAGAAGACACCCAAAUUCAGGACCAUUGAAGGUGAGUUGAGCAAGUUGUUUUCAAAAUAAAAUUUCAUAGAAAACACAGCCUUUUGUUUUAGGGGACCUUCCAAUUUGUUUUUUUCUGGAAUUCUCUGAGUAUUAUGGCUGUUGUCAUCUUUAAAGCCUGCAGUUAUGCUGUAAGCUUAAGCUAAUUCAUUAUGUCAUCUCACAGUAAUUCUGUAACAUUCCCAUGCUAUAGAUCUACUCUACUUCUGAACUUUGAGCCAGUCUUUUUAAAUUCUUGUCUUGUACCAUAGCUGCUUCACUACUUCUGGUACUCUUUCUGUGCCUUGCAGAGCCAUUUCACAUGUAUGCGUUUGCUAUCAAUCAAACUACACUUUUAUCUAAUCAUCAGCAAGUUUGCAGACCAUGUUUUUCUCCUGUGCAGACAAUCCGCAUGCCGGAGGAUCUUUUAGCUCUCUAACUGACCCAACUUAUGCAAAGCAGCCUUAAUGCUGCUAGUGCUAAUGGUUCUCAUGGAAAAAACAUAUAUAUAUAUAUGUAUAUAUAUAUAUAUAUAUGCUUUUAUAUAUAUAUAUAUAUAUAUAUAUGUGCUUUUCUUUCUGCGCA
RNAcentral lists this long non-coding RNA (1060 nucleotides) under Anas platyrhynchos (mallard). Its description in RNAcentral is "lncRNA (ENSAPLG00020003907.1)". The record is from RNAcentral. Lineage: Eukaryota; Metazoa; Chordata; Aves; Anseriformes; Anatidae.